This 207-nucleotide long non-coding RNA is filed under the name Mus spicilegus (steppe mouse). Its description in RNAcentral is "lncRNA (ENSMSIG00000006419.1)". The record is from RNAcentral. Lineage: Eukaryota; Metazoa; Chordata; Mammalia; Rodentia; Muridae.
GCGGGCUUUGAGGCUUGAUAGUCAGGUCCUACUUCCGGUUCCUCUCUCUGGUUCCGGAAAGCUGAAGCAAUGCGGACUGGCUGCGAAUUCCGCUGUGAAUUCCACCCAGAUGUACUCCAGGAUGGACUUCUCUCUCCCUUCAAUUGUAUCUGGUUGCAGCAACAAGGCCUCAGUUUACACUUCAUCGGCCACAACUGAGUGAUAAUG